UGUACCUACUAACCUACGACGGGUACGGGUUGUGAGAGCAAGAACCCGGAGAUGGAUUCUGAGACACUAAUCCAGGCCCUACGGGGUGCAGCAGGCGCGAAAACUUUACAAUGCUGGGAACAGCGAUAAGGGAACCUCGAGUGCCAGGUUACAAAUCUGGCUGUCGUGAUGCCUAAAAAGCAUUAUAUAGCAAGGGCCGGGCAAGACCGGUGCCAGCCGCCGCGGUAACACCGGCGGCUCGAGUGGUAACCGUUAUUAUUGGGUCUAAAGGGUCUGUAGCCGGCCGGAUAAGUCUCUUGGGAAAUCUGGCAGCUCAACUGUCAGGCUUUCAGGGGAUACUGUCUGGCUCGAGGCCGGGAGAGGUGAGAGGUACUUCAGGGGUAGGGGUGAAAUCUUGUAAUCCUUGAA
This 408-nucleotide ribosomal RNA is filed under the name Methanothrix soehngenii. RNAcentral describes it as "bacterial SSU rRNA". It matches the Rfam family "Archaeal small subunit ribosomal RNA", at positions 245 to 653 of the family's 1478-position model. Lineage: Archaea; Methanobacteriati; Methanobacteriota; Methanomicrobia; Methanotrichales; Methanotrichaceae. The record is from RNAcentral.